RNAcentral lists this ribosomal RNA (378 nucleotides) under uncultured eukaryote. RNAcentral's name for it is "partial 18S ribosomal RNA". It matches the Rfam family "Eukaryotic small subunit ribosomal RNA", at positions 592 to 976 of the family's 1831-position model. The record is from RNAcentral.
UGUAAGCGUAUACCAAAGUUGUUGCAGUUAAAACGCUCGUAGUCGGAUUUCGGGACGGGCCAGUUGGUCCGCCGCAAGGUGUGUUACUGACUGGUCUGUUCUUCUUCGCAAAGACUGCGUGUGCUCUUCGUUGAGUGUGCGUAGGAUUUACGACGUUUACUUUGAAAAAAUUAGAGUGUUCAAAGCAGGCUAUCGCUUGAAUACAUGAGCAUGGAAUAAUGGAAUAGGACUUUGGUCCUAUUUUGUUGGUUUCUAGGAUCGAAGUAAUGAUUAAGAGGGACAAUUGGGGGCAUCCGUAUUUCGUUGUCAGAGGUGAAAUUCUUGGAUUUACGAAAGACGAACAACUGCGAAAGCACUUGCCAAGAGUGUUUUCAUUAA